UGGAGGCGCCUUUGGCAUCCCGUGUUUGUGGAAUAUAAUGGGUGGCUGCCUCCCGUCACUUUGUUCUCCGUGGAAGGCGGCGCGGAAGAGGUAUGUAUGCCACAGAGCUGCAUCAACACACAUGUGGACGAGUUGAUAGCAAUGCCUUAUGAAUGAAUGAGGCUGUGCGUAGGAUGCAAGUUGUUCACAACAAGACCAUUUCCCAACCUGCUGUCCUCCAAAGGAUUUCGUGCCAGAAGGAAAGCGAUAAUUGGGGAUCCAGAAAGAUGCUGACAGAAAGACUGCUUCUGGAGAAAGGACCUCACUAGAUGGAAAAUACCUUUUUUUAUAAAUUAUGAAAUUGAUGCUUUAUGAAUUGUAGCCCAUCAUGUGCAAGAUCUGAAAUAGAUACAAACUGUGACUGAAGAAAUUGGAGCCUAUCCCCUUUAGUCAUGUGGAAAGCCAGAAAGAUAUAAAUCCAUCAUGUAAAAACCUAUCUUCAUAUCUCUUCAACUUCACCGAAGUUUUGAUCUAAGCUU
This 518-nucleotide long non-coding RNA is filed under the name Notechis scutatus (mainland tiger snake). RNAcentral's name for it is "lncRNA (ENSNSUG00000009914.1)". The record is from RNAcentral. Lineage: Eukaryota; Metazoa; Chordata; Lepidosauria; Squamata; Elapidae.